Molecule: ribosomal RNA, 401 nt
Filed under: uncultured bacterium
Lineage: Bacteria
Description: bacterial SSU rRNA
Rfam family: Bacterial small subunit ribosomal RNA
Source: RNAcentral
AGUGAACGCUGGCGGCAGGCCUAACACAUGCAAGUCGAGCGGCAGCGCGUCCGACCACCCUCGGGUGGUCGGAUGGCGGCGAGCGGCGGACGGGUGAGGAAUGCAUCGGAAUCUGCCUCGUUGUGGGGGAUAACGUAGGGAAACUUACGCUAAUACCGCAUACGACCUACGGGUGAAAGUGGGGGACCUUCGGGCCUCACGCGAUGAGAUGAGCCGAUGCCGGAUUAGCUAGUUGGCGGGGUAAAGGCCCACCAAGGCGACGAUCCGUAGCUGGUCUGAGAGGAUGAUCAGCCACACUGGAACUGAGACACGGUCCAGACUCCUACGGGAGGCAGCAGUGGGGAAUAUUGGACAAUGGGGGCAACCCGUGAUCCAGCCAUGCCGCGUGUGUGAAGAAGGCC